Molecule: long non-coding RNA, 9764 nt
Organism: Homo sapiens (human)
Lineage: Eukaryota; Metazoa; Chordata; Mammalia; Primates; Hominidae
Exons: 2
Source: RefSeq, a predicted model, not a curated record
GCAUGGUUACUGUCUUACCAGAAGAGAAGGCACUGAGAAGGUGCACUGAGCCUGGGAGCUCUAUUAGGGUCCCAGAGACAAUGGAGGAUAGCAUUUAGGCAGGAUGGGGGUUCCAUGGGGUGGCAUUGGCCUCCAACUCUGCAGAGGAAGAAUCUCAGGAGGGAGGGAGGGAAGUAAGCAAGUGGGCCCCAGCGCCUGCGCCCGUAGCAGCUGGACAUUGGAAGAAUGAAGGGGCCUUGAAUUUGGCUAUUAGUGAUCUGGGUAUGGGGGUUUCAGAUCCGUGCUAGGGACACAGGGGAUCCAUGGUACUUUCUAAAAGUCCAGGUGUCGUUAUUUCCGUACUGUGUGUUAUAACUGAGCAGUGCCCAGUUAUGGGCAUCAUCCUGCCAGUGCCGGGCCCUCAGAGCAUGGGGGAAGACAGCAGCGUGCGCAUCUGAGGUGGAGGAUGGAGGAGUGACCGCAGCACCAGGCAUAGACACUCCUGGAGCCCUCCAAGGACUCAGGCGUCAGCAAGAGACCAGGGCUGAUGGCAGCACCUCUGCCUUUUGGGGGCUGUCUCUGGAUGGUCUCAGUCAGCCCAGGGUCACCUUUAUUCUGAGAUGCUUCCCUUGGCCACCACCCCCUCCAGGGAGCUGAGUGAGGUCCUAGGACCCAGGUCUUAUAAAGGGACUUCCUGGUACUCACAUCAGAGAACCAGGAUAGAGGAGGUCUGGGAGCCAAGGAGCCAGGGCCCCGGGCGCUGGACAUGCGUCCGUGAGGGACUCUUGCUCUUUGUUUGCUACCACUGGCAAAACAAGGCUUUUUCUCCAUCUGUGAGCUUCAGUCUCUGGAGGUUUCUGAGAGAGAUGGGAUAUUUAUGUGCCUUGAGAACUCUGAAAAGAGACUCCUGCCCAGGGGUCAGGACUAGACACAGCUCCUCUCCACCUUCAGACCCCGAUGCUUUAGGGCCGUGGGUAUGAACAGGUCAUGUGUAUGUGAGUGCACAUUUAAUAACCGAGUCAGCCCACUGCACUGCAGGGAGCUCUGUGGGUGUCCAAUUCGGAAAACGUUUUAGAAUGAGAAACUCCAGUCUGCUUGGGGAAACUGCCAUUGCAAUUACUUUCUUUUUAUUGCAUAAAACCAACUUUGAAAUUUUAGAGUUGAUGAAGCUUUCCAUUUGCCCCAGAUACUCUCACUCUGCAAAGCAGGGGGCCUUGGUUUCCCACCCUACCACCUUGGUGGGCGCUCUGAAGACACUGCUGAGAGGCUAGGGCCACAGAGGAGAAGGUGCUAUCUGGGCCUUCUGGGACUUUGAGGUGUGGAUUCCAGCCCACCUUCUGCUCAGUCCACACUGCCCGUGAUAGCUACAUCAAGGGACCUUCACUGGUUCAGGCCCAAAAUGAAGUAUCGUUUCUAUAACAGAUACCUUCUAGCGCCAUCUUUACUCUUCUGAGAUGAAAGUCAUAGCGAAUAUAACCUCCUUAAGCACAUACUGAAAACUAAAUUUAACACCCUAACACUCAUGUCAAAGGAAAAAUAAAAAGAAAGUAAUUCACAAUAAAGUCAUAUGAAUUUUGAGAUGAAAAUCUUUGGUCCGGCCCACAGUAGAAAACAGAAAUCAUCCCUCAGGUUUAAAAAAUACUCAUUAAUUUUUUAUUGUGGUGAAAUACAUGUAACAUAAAAUUUAGCAUUUUAAUCAUUUUUAAGUGUACUGUUCAGUGGUAGUAAGGACAUUUGCAUUGCUGUGCAACCAUCAUGACUAUCUAGUUUCAGAAAUUUGUCGUCAUCCCAAAGGGAAACCUUAUACCCCCUGAAGUCACUUCCUGUCCACACCUCCCUGCCAAACCCCUGGCACUCACUCAUCCCCUCCUGUCCCUGGGGAUGUGCCUACUGUGGACAUUUUACAUAAAUGGCAUCACAAAGUAUGUGCUUUUUGUGGCUGGCUCCUGUGACGUGGUGUGUGAUGUUUUCGAGCCGGACGUGUUACAGCCCAUGUGGGAACUUCAGUACUGCUCCUGGCAGAGUAAUAUUCCACAGCUGGGAUAGAGCACAGUUUGUUUAUUCAUUCCUCUCUCGAUGGAGACUUGGGUUGUUCCCACCUUUGGCCUCGGUGAAUGGUGAUGCUGUGAUCAUGGGUGUGCCUGUGUUUGUCUGAACACCUGCUUUCAGUUGUUUGGGGCGUUACCCAGGAGAGGGGUUGCUAGGUCCUGUGGCACCUCUGUAACUUGCUGGGGAACUUCCCCACUGAUGCUUGAAAGUCAUUUGGUAUCACCAGGUCUCUGGGGUGUUUCAUUUGUCCCCAGAAGCUCUGCCUAAGCUGCACUGGGAGUGGGCUGAUCUGUGUGACCCUAACGGCCUGAGUGCUGGCUCAGGGGAACUGCUAAUUUAUGGAAUCCUAGGUAGGUGGUGGUAGAAUUCUCUCCCUCUGUCAGGGUGGAGCAGUUACGACAAAUCCACAGUCUCAGGGACAUAAAGCAACAUGGUCUUUUUCCAAUCAUGCCACAUGUCCACUGCAUUGUGGCUUGACAUGGGCCUCAUGCCAGGACCUGGGAUGAGGGGUGAGCCCUCUCUGUGCACCCAAGGCUGCCGACACUCCCGAGAGCACUGCCGGCUCCCACGGCUUCUGCCAGAAGUCACCGGCUGCGUCGCUCCCCACAGUUCAUCAGCCUGGUGGACCUGUGGCCACACUUAUGUUCAGCGCAGCCCAUGUGGCCCUGAAGGUGGACAGCUUUUGUAUCCGUACUGAGGCAUGGGAUAAUAAACGCCACAGUGAUUAAAAGAGGAAAUGUUGGCCAGGCGCGGUGGCUCAUGCCUGUAAUCCCAACACUUUGAGAGGCCACGGUGGGUGGAUCACGAGGUCAGGAGUUCAAGACUAGCCUGGCCAAUAUGAUGAAACCUCAUCUCUACUAAAAAAUACAAAAAUUAGCCGGGCAUGGUGGCACGUGCCUGUAGUCCCAGCUACUCGGGAGGCUGAGGCAGGAGAAUCACUGGAACUGGGGAGACAGAGGUUUCAGUGAGCCAAGAUCAUACCAUUUCACUCCAGCCUAGGCAACAGAGUGAGACUCCGUCAAAAAAAAAAAGAUGAAGUGUUAGUGGAAGAGGCCAGUAAGGUCACGUGAUGGGGGGUGAUCCAAAAAGAAAACCAAUGCAUGUGAACAGGCAGGCAUUGAAGCCUGUACAGAAGCCCCAUUGAUGAGGUAUUUGGGGCGGGGCAGUGUGUGAGGCAGGCGGGGGUCCCCCUUCUGUGGUUUGCAGCUUUUCACAUCUGCACGUAAGGUUACAGUUGACUUACAAAACAUGGGGUAUUGCUGGCAUUUCUCAUGUUGGAGGGCUUCGUUGUGUGGACGUAUCAUUUCCCUUUUAAAUAUGCCUUUUUAGAAGAAAUGCCACCACCUAGCCAUGGACUUCAGUGUUUCCCAGUGGAAAGAAUUUUCAAUUUUGCAAUCUAAAAAAUGGGAUUCCCCCCUUCCGCCUUCUGUUGCAGUUUUGCCGGCGCCUACCCGUUCUCUUAGAAUCAGGGUUAGACAUGAAGACAGCACGACUGAGGGAGGGUGGGCCUGGGAGGGGAAGGCUCUUCCCUGGGUUGGUCUUGAUAUGUCCGUCAGAACCCUGGCUAAUGAUUUCCUAACACAUUACGCUGUAAAAAACUGCAAGUUGUGCGGCUCUUUAAGGCUAUGCCCUCCACGUGGAAGGGGCUGGUCAAUCAGUCCUGUUUCAGUUUUGGGAGAAGACUCCUAAAACCAUUUCUGGGAGCAUUUCAGCUGGGAGGAGUGUUGGGGCAUCCUUGUCAUGCCACCCUGCCUCCUUUUACACACUGUCUCGAAAAGAUUAGUGUGUGUGUGUGAAUGAGCUGAAGUCUGGAGGCCUCAAGCUCACCGUGAAGCAGUCUUUGCCUGUUAUUUGUUUUCACUCCUAGGAAUGCAAGGGAGCUUCCAGAACCUAUCAGGCACACCUGUGUGAUGUCGCGCUUUAUUCCUAGAAGAUCACAUCAAGAUAAAUCAGUAGCUUAUGGGGACUUUACCUUCUAGUGCCCAGAUAGAAAAUGAAAGAAGGCAUGUUUUAAAAUAGGUAAUGUUCUAGCAUGUCAUGAGUUUUCACCUGUUCUUAUUUUUUAAGUUAAUUAAUUAAUUUAUCAUUUGAGAUAGGAUCUCACUCUGUCACCCAGGCUGCAGUGUAGUUGGUGUGAUCACAGCUCACUGCAUCCUUGACCUCCUGGGCUCAAUUGAUCCUCUCACCUCAGCCUCCAGAGUAGUUAGGACGACAGGCAUGUGCCACCAUGCCUGGAUCAUUUUUUUUUUUUUUUGUAUUUUUCUGUAGAGACUGGGUUUCAUCAUGUUGCCCAGGCUGGUCUGGAACUCCUGGGCUCAAAAGAUCCACCCUCCUCAGUCUCUCAAAGUGGUGGGAUUACAGGCGUGAGCCACUGUGCCCGGCCCCUGUUUUUUCUAUGUUUUAAUUAACUUAUUUAUCAUCGUAUUUAUUUAAGGUGUUUAACAUGAUAUUUUGUUUGUUAUAUCUAUACAUAGGGAGAGGAUCACUACAGUCAAACCAAUGGACAUAUCCACCACUUUACCUAGUUACUUUUGUGUAAGAGCACCUAAGGUCUACUGUCUUAGUCAAUAUUGCAUCCUGAAGAUUUGCUCAGGGAGCGGAUUCCGUCUCUUUUAGAACAGAGGUUGGACACUUUGUCUUGCAUGUUGGAGUCACCUGGGGAGCUUUAAAAAUGCAGACGCUAAAAAUGUGGGUACCUGCUUCUACCUCCAGAGGGUGGCAGAUUGAGUUGGCCCUGGUGGGGCCUGGAUGUCAGACUUGCUUUAAAAAUGCUCCCCAAAUAAUGCAGUGCUAAUUCAGGGUUGAGACCUGCUGUGAUUCUUGAGCUUGGUUGUGUGUUGGAAACACUAGGGAGUUUUUAAAAAUACUGACACCUAGGUCUCACCGCUGGAGGUUCUGACUUCACAGGUGAGGCCCGAGCUUUAGGAUUUUAGUGAUAAAAGGUGGACAAUGGCCUUUGAGAACCACUGUUGUAUAUUUGCAGUUCUCAACUUAGGUGCGUGUCCCAGCCUCCAGGAGAGCUGGCCCUUGGCUCAUUGAGGCUGGAACGUGCCGCAGGGUGGUUCUAAGAUUUGUGACCCUGCUGUGGAAUUUAGAGGACAGCCAACAGUCACGUAUUGGUUAUCAGAGGCAGAGGCAGGCGACCCCAUGGGCUGCCUUCCACCUGGGUGCUGGCUUUAUUUCACCAGGGCAGAGUGGGCUAUGUGACCCCACAGUGGAGAGAAUGCAGUGACAUGAAGUGUGUGAGUGGGCAGCAUGGUGGGUGUCCGCUCCUGAACACUUGACCCAUCUUCCUUCCCCUCCCUCAUCCCACUUCCCAGCAGAGCCUCAGGGCCUGGGAUCUGCCAGGCCGUGCGCUGGCAAAGAUCAGUCUCCAAGAGCAGUCUGAAUCACAGAAUCACAGCUCAGGGUCAACAUAAGUACUGACUUACCUAUCAGGAUGUGUUAUUUUACACUCUCAAUUAGUUUACAUAAUUGGGAGUUCAGUGUAUUUGGACAAGGUGGAAAGUUGCCGAAGAGCUUUGUGGGUGUUUUAAACAAAAUUUAAAAAACAUUUUCUGGCUAAGCGAUCUGAGAAGCCCUCUCCUGCACUUCAGACUGCUCAGGGGUGAAUUGAUGGCAACAGUGCUGACCCCCAGGCUGGGCUGAGUUCAGUCCCACAUGUGUUUAGUACAGCACCCAGUGUCUUGGCCUGAAUCCCUGAUUCUCCAGGGCUCUGACGGCGAUGCAUCCCCUUCUCACGAGGCCCCUGGGUGCCCCCAGUCAAGGACUGGCUUUCCUGCUCUUUCCUCAGAGCACGUGAGGAUUCCCUGUCAGGACCGUCCCCCACCCUGUUGUGGUGGCUUUGGAUAAGGUACGUCAUAGGAUGCACCUGGGGCUGAGGCCCCACCAUCCCCAGCUCCUCCUGUGGGGCCGGAAUGACUGAGCGUCCUCCUGCCUCGCAGGCUCGGUGUCCUUUUGCACCCUGUGGUGAAUCCCAGAUCCCGCUGGGCGUGGCGGAGUCUCAGGUGACCCUGCGCAACUUGCUGGCUGGGCAGCCCUCAGCACGUUUCCUUAUCUGUCCUUGACGCCGGCUCCACCCGUGAAUAACAGUGAGACUGCUAAAUGAGGAAACAUGCUGGUCUUUGGGAGUGGCAGUGUAGGGGACUUUGGGGCAUGUGUCCCAUUUUAUACUCAAGGUCACGUGGUUCCCGAGGCUCUGGGUGGGUAGCACCCAGUGUCUGGAGGGAAGGAGGCUUGGGCGAAGACAGCUAAAUGCCUGGUGUGGGGACUGCCCAAAGAGAUGGGCAGCGUCCAGUCAUGUGACCUUUGGAGACCAUGUUACCAUGUCAUGUUUUGGUGGACAAUGAGCGUGUCACCGCGACAAGAGGGGCACAAGACUGUGUAAAGAAAAAGCCACUGCCUGUCCCUCCCUCCACAGAGACCCCAGCUGCAUGGAGUGGGUGAAGCUGCACAUCACCUGCAGAUCACCGGGGUCUGUGUUCACUGGGGGUUUCAAGGGGCCUGAGAUUUCUGCACUGAGUACUCAUGACCUUUGUAAGGAGAGGAUGCAGGAUUUUUUUUUUUUUUUCCUGGCUGGGAACUGGCAGGGAAGUAAGGGCAGCUCUUCCCCAGCACCUGGGCCUCAGGCUGGGAGCAGGGUGGGCACAGGUGUGAGAGAUCAGGGUGUGUGUGCCAUGGGUGCAGCCAGAUGCAGGUGCCCCCCUGCCCCACCCCAGGGCUUUGGGAGCUGCCCUUUGCCCGUGAACAUCCCUGUGUGGGAGCUUGGGUUUUGUUCCCUUUCUCCUUGGUUUUUCUGAGAAGGGGUACGUUGGGGAGCUGGGGGUGGGAGGGCGGAUCGCCCAGAGCCCUGCAGGUGCUCUCCAGUGCUGGCAAAUUCCCUCUUGUCCCCUUAUCAGCUCCUUCCAGAGGUGACAGCCAUCUGUGUGGUGGCAGCUCUCUCCUGCUCCCAUGAGGUCUCCUUUUUCUUCUCUUUUCCUGGAUUUGACUUCUUAACUGAACAGAAAAAUAUAUAGGCAUGGACAGUUUUGUAGUAGUGUUUGGAGAAUAGGCCUUAACAAUAUAAUUAUUCAAUUCAUGAUUUCAUUGUUCAAACUGCCCAAUCUCAUUGCAUUACGGCCAGUUCUUUGUCGUACCUUGGAAUUUGUGUGUGUGUGUGUGUGUGUGUGUGUGUGUGUGUGUGUGUUUUGUCCUCUGUGUUUGUUUGUUUGUUUCCUUUUGAUGCAUAUAAUGUAAUAUUCUUGGUGAAGGCCAUACCUCCCCUUUCUGCAGGUGUGAGUGGGAGGGCUGCAGGUUGCGGAGUGAGACCUGAGGCUACACUGCUGGCCCCUGCAGUUUUACCAGAAGCUCAAGGAUAGGAUGGUUGUAGGAGCUCACCGACUUAGCAAAGAAGUACUGAACCCGCAGGGUGUCUCAGCUUGGACAGACUUUGGAGCUGAAUAAGACCUGAUCCUUGUCCCCACCUGGGACAGCUGGCUGCUACUGCCUCUGUCCUCAGAAAGCAAUCCAAGAGCUCUCUGAGCUGGCAGUGCAGAGGUACGGAGCUUGCUGUUUAUGCAGACCUUCUCUGGAGAGGUGAGCAUUGAUCCUGGUAGGCAGCGUACCAGAGCUAGCAAAUGAACCGCCUGAGGAAAUGUCCCCAAGCUGUGGCCUCUCAUAGGUCACCCAGACAUCAGAGUGUGAAGCAAAAGUGCUUUGCUUCUCCCACCUCUGCCCCACCUGUAGCCACAUGAAAAGAGUGGUUCUGGAAGUCCCUGGUGUAACUUUGGUGUAGCACAUGGGCUGUGGGCUCUGUGUGCACACUCGAGACCCAGCGCAAGUCACCACUGCCAUGGAGUCACCUGUGGACCCAGGGGCUGGGCUAGUCAGAGCAGUAGAUGGGAUGAGGAUCUGGGGGCCUUGAGUGGAGGGGCAGCUCUCAGUGAGAAGAGGGUGCCUUUGGCUGCAUCUGCCCCUGGAAGGGAGCCAGGAACCAACCCCUCUACAGUGGAGAUGCUGAUGGGUGGCCUCGUCCUGGAGAAGGGGCCAGGAUGGAAAGGACGGACCUCCAGGAACAGCCAGCGCCCUGGCUUCCUGACAGGCAGCUCCCAGGUGGGGAGAAGGGCUUGUUUGACACAGGUGUGAGGUUUGCAGAUACAGGGUGAUGAGGUGGGGCCAGUAUUCAGAAUGCAGAACCUGACCCUCCACCAUCACGGACCAUCCGUUUGUGAGCAGCACAUGCAGCUGUGGGGCCGUGUUGGAGCACAGGGUGGGUGUGAGUGAGCGUGUGAGACUGUGCGUGAGUGUGAGUGUGAGAAUGAGUGUGAGACUGUGUGAGGCUGUCUGUGAGUGUACAAGACUGAGACUGAAUGUGAGUGUGACAAUGUGUGUAUCAUGAAAAACACUGUGAGAGACUGCACGUGUGUGAGUGCCAGUGAGUAUAGUGUAAGUAUAUGAGAAAGUGUGAGAGCAUGAGUGUGUGUGUCUGCUUGUGACUGUUGUGUGAAUGUGGGUGAGAGUGUUAGUGCAAGGGUGUGUGAGUGUAAGAGUGUGUGAGAGACUAAGAGUGUGAAGUAUGCAGGUGUGUGUGACGUGGGUGUAAGAGUGUGUGUGCAAAUGCAUGAGUGGCUGAGUCUGCAUGAGUGUUAUGAGAAAAUGUGUGUAAGAGACCACGUGAGAGUGAGUGUUCAUACAUGUGUCUGCAAGUGUGUGGGUGUGAAAAAGUGCCGGAGACUGGGAGCACAUGAGAGUUUGACUGUGUGCAUGUGAGUAUGUGGGUGUGUUCCUGUGAGAGAGGUGCGGGGUGUGUGGGAGGGGCAGCUCCAGUCUCCAGGGAGCACUCCUAGCGUGGUCCAUUCUUCACGGACAGGAGCCCGUUUUGUAACCCCACUCUGAGCUUAGUUCCUGCUCGCUGUUGCACCCGUGCCCUAGGGCCUUCCUUGGUUCUUUCUUGCACACAGCAGACAUAGGUGCCGUGGCCUGGCUUCCAUUGCCAUCUCUGCCCUAGACGUUGUGCACGGGUUAAAGGGAGGCAGCGCCUGGUGGAACGUCCUGGGCUUGGAUGUGGCACCGGAGCCUUGACUGGAUUCUGUUCCACUACUGGGCUUCCUGGGCAUCUACCUUGGACCUAGCGUGGAGUCUCACGUUCAAGUUGUCUUGCCUGAAGAAGACAGCUAGUGGGCCUGCCUUGGGUCUCUGUUGAACAAUUAAAGGAGCACCGAGAUCCCCUCUGUUGAAUAAUUAAAGAAGGGAGAGAGAGACCCCUGCUGCAGGACGCCUUGCAUUGUAACCUCUGGGAAGCAUAAGCCCUGCUCGCUAUAAAUGAGAAUGUCACUUCCACAUCUCCUCUGAGCAUAUUGGUCCAGAAAACUACCUCCCACAUUAAUUUUCAUAUGGCUAUCAGACAUGGGAGAUUUAUCAGAGAGAAGGAAAAGUGUAAGGAUCAAACACGUGAGUUUGGGAGAAUACAGGAACUAAUACUAAUGCAAAAUUAGAACGGGAUUUAGGGAAAUUCAGUACAGCAGCACAGAGUACUACAAAAUAAAAGAAGCUUUGUUCCUCUCGAAGGUAAUCUGUGUGUUGUUUCCCUAAUUUUAAAAAGUAAUACAUAUUACUGGCGAAAACCCUGAAAGAUAGAAACAUUUCCGAAAAAAUAUGAAUGGUGCCUAGAAUUACACAACCCAGAGAGAAGCUCUUAUGAGCAUUUUAGGACAUUUUCUUAGUUUUUAAAAUAAAAAUGAAACCACACUACACAUGCA